This 207-nucleotide ribosomal RNA is filed under the name uncultured delta proteobacterium. RNAcentral's name for it is "partial 16S ribosomal RNA". It matches the Rfam family "Bacterial small subunit ribosomal RNA", at positions 568 to 774 of the family's 1533-position model. Lineage: Bacteria; Deltaproteobacteria. The record is from RNAcentral.
CGUGUAGGCGGUUUUUUAAGUCUGAUGUGAAAGCCCCGGGCUCAACCUGGGAAGUGCAUUGGAUACUGGAAGACUUGAGUACGGGAGAGGGCAGUGGAAUUCCUAGUGUAGGAGUGAAAUCCGUAGAUAUUAGGAGGAACACCGGUGGCGAAGGCGGCUGCCUGGACCGAUACUGACGCUGAGACGCGAAAGCGUGGGGAGCAAACA